This 850-nucleotide long non-coding RNA is filed under the name Helianthus annuus (common sunflower). Lineage: Eukaryota; Viridiplantae; Streptophyta; Magnoliopsida; Asterales; Asteraceae. The record is from RNAcentral.
UCAAACGCAGAUAAACUACAGCGCCGCAUCUAUCCACUGUCCAUAAACCCUAGUUAUCGAUCCACUGGGCAUCGCUUCUGUUCCAAUGCUGGACGAAAGUAGCGUUAGGAUCCAGUGGGAUCUUCUGAAGAAGAAUUUGUGUUAAAUGUUGUUAACAUGUUGACAGUUCAUAGGUGGUACAGGUUCAUGUGGGUCAUCUUGCCACGUUGAGUGUGCCCUCCAACGGCGAAAGGUCGGAGUGGUUAAUCUUGGCCAAGCGAUGCGGCUCGAUGGCUCUGGGAUACUUGGGUAUUGGAAGAAGCAGCUGACUGUUGUUAAGCAUCUCAACGGCACAUAAAGGCUUCUUCAAGACCUACAUAGCUUGGUUAUAGAAGCAAAAGAUAAACUAGAGACGGAAGUGGUCUAUAUGUGCCAUGGUUACCACAGCCAAAGCUGAUGUUUCAAAGGGAAAGACCACAUCAACUAAAAGGAAGUCAAAUGGUGGUGUUUGGUCGACUAGAAAGACUUGUCAAAUUGGUCAACAAGUAAAAGUACCGAAAAUCAGAAUAAGAGAGCAGGAAGACUUACCAUGUGGUAGCAAUGCUCCCUCCGUCGUGGUGGAAAGAGGUUUUGAAUAUAAGUUUUAACGCAAUUCAGAGAGUUAGUUGUGAUGAUUCAUUCAAGAUUAGAAGUUUUUGAGAAAGAUACACUCUUGUAUAAUUUCAUGUUUAUCUUGUAAUGGAUUCCUAUAAUAUACUUGUUGUGUAAAUAGUUAUUCAAGGGUUUAACAUUUGUUAUAGUUUUUGAAUACGUGUAAUUAUUUUAUAAGUGAUGGCGAUCAAAGAAAGAAGUCUAAAGUAAUUAUUUGUUG